AACAUUCAUUGCUGUCGGUGUGUUGUGUAUUUCAAAAAAACUCACUGAACAAUGAGUGCAA
RNAcentral lists this microRNA precursor (61 nucleotides) under Microcaecilia unicolor. RNAcentral's name for it is "Mun-Mir-181-P2c_pre stem-loop". It matches the Rfam family "mir-181 microRNA precursor family", at positions 12 to 72 of the family's 83-position model. From Rfam's summary of the family: In this case the mature sequence comes from the 5' arm of the precursor. The extents of the hairpin precursors are not generally known and are estimated based on hairpin prediction. The products are thought to have regulatory roles through complementarity to mRNA. Lineage: Eukaryota; Metazoa; Chordata; Amphibia; Gymnophiona; Siphonopidae. The record is from RNAcentral.